Long non-coding RNA from Neltuma alba, 800 nucleotides. RefSeq lists it as uncharacterized. The transcript has 2 exons. Lineage: Eukaryota; Viridiplantae; Streptophyta; Magnoliopsida; Fabales; Fabaceae. The record is from RefSeq and is a predicted model, not a curated record.
GAAGCAGUUGGAAGAGGCGAUUCGAUUCGAUUCGGUAGCUCCACUUCUCCACUCCCGAGUAGGAAACUAAUCCCUUUGCUUCAUGGACUCGCAACCUUCUUCUGCCUUUGCCAUCAGGAAGCCGCUCAGAAUUUUCUUUCUUUUUCUCGGGUUAGGUUUUUCUCUUAUACAAAUCAACCAAAAGAUGGAAGUAGCUUCAUUUUAGAUUCAUAAAGGAAAGAAGUAUGAGAUGAUGAUAGAGUCAGUUCAAGUGAGAAGGGGCCCUAUCAAAACUGUCGGCAGAGGGCAGCUAAGGAGGAGAGUUCCGAGUAGAGUGGAAGGGCCAUUCAUUUCUUUAUUCAGCUUUCAUUACGCAUAUAGUGACCGUUCGUUCGAAUAAUUGAACUCCAAAACUUUCUAUGAUUGGAUUACUCCGAAUGGUCUGUGCUCUGUAGCUCACAAUAUCAAACUAGAGUCCAAAAUGAAUGCAGAGAAUGUACUAUUGAUGUGGAGGAAUCACCUUCUUCAAUUAGUUGAAAUGUUCUGGUCAGGAUCUACAGUGUUCGUGGACUUCAAAUCCCGUUCAAAAUAAAGAUUUCAAAUCAUGAGAUCUUUUAGAAGAUAUGGUUAAUGAUAUGUACUUCACAGGCAAAAUUCUCAUUUCAUAUUCAGCAGAGAACACUAACGUCAACGUGGCGGGGAGGAUGGCUUUUUAUUUCCUUUUUUGUAUAAUGAUUCGGACUCUAACGCAAUUAUGUAACCAAUUAUUGCUAUUCUUCUUUUCCCAUUAGUGAUGUAAUAAAAAGGUUUCUUUUCUUCAA